This 47-nucleotide small RNA is filed under the name Acidobacteriia bacterium SbA2. RNAcentral describes it as "Solibacteres bacterium SbA2 Acido-Lenti-1". It matches the Rfam family "Acido-Lenti-1 RNA". The record is from RNAcentral. Lineage: Bacteria; Pseudomonadati; Acidobacteriota; Terriglobia.
CCCAGGGCUCACGCCCUGGGCUACUUUAUGCCGCCCCUAACGGGGCU